Long non-coding RNA from Cydia amplana, 312 nucleotides. RefSeq lists it as uncharacterized. The transcript is spliced from 3 exons. The record is from RefSeq and is a predicted model, not a curated record. NCBI's taxonomy places the organism in Eukaryota, Metazoa, Arthropoda, Insecta, Lepidoptera, Tortricidae.
CGGAGCCAAAAGCUUGGGGUUCAAGAUGGCAGUUUAAAGUACAGCGUGCCAAGUGCGGCCCUGUGGGAUGUUCGCUGUAUGCCAAGUCGCAGUUUGCUAUUUGUGCGCGCCGGGCCUCCGAACUACUCUGCCCCCGCGCCCGCGCCCCGCGCCCUUCGACCAUAGACAAUGCUAGUUAGACGGGCCACUGUUCUAAUACGGGUGAGCGAGCAUUUUUAAUGCAGUUCAUUUUGCCGGAAGGCGUAAUUUUUUGCUAAGAAAAUUUGCAAGUCCAGGAAAAUAGGGGAGACUUCGUUGUAUUUUUCGUCUAUC